AGAGGGUUGGAAACACCUCGGAGGAAUUCAACAUGAGCUCCAUCCAACUGCCGAGUCCUCUCACCUACCCAGAGCAUGUGAGCAGAACAGUCAUAAAAGAGGCCAGUUGUUGAGUCCUCUCUGGUUAACGCCUGCUCAUAUGGCAAAUGAAGGCACUCAUGAGAUGUCCAAAACUCAGUUGUGUUCAUUAGAGGAUGAUCAA
Molecule: unclassified non-coding RNA, 202 nt
Filed under: Hevea brasiliensis (rubber tree)
Lineage: Eukaryota; Viridiplantae; Streptophyta; Magnoliopsida; Malpighiales; Euphorbiaceae
Source: RNAcentral